CAGUAGCCACGGUAAUACGGAGGGGGCUAGCGUUACCCGGAUUUACUGGGCGUAAAGGGCGUGUAGGCGGCCUGGGGCGUCCCAUGUGAAAGGCCACGGCUCAACCGUGGAGGAGCGUGGGAUACGCUCAGGCUAGAGGGUGGGAGAGGGUGGUGGAAUUCCCGGAGUAGCGGUGAAAUGCGCAGAUACCGGGAGGAACGCCGAUGGCGAAGGCAGCCACCUGGUCCACUUCUGACGCUGAGGCGCGAAAGCGUGGGGAGCAAACCGGAUUAGAUACCCCGGUAGUCCCUGUCUCUUAUAC
This 301-nucleotide ribosomal RNA is filed under the name uncultured bacterium. RNAcentral's name for it is "partial 16S ribosomal RNA". It matches the Rfam family "Bacterial small subunit ribosomal RNA", at positions 509 to 807 of the family's 1533-position model. The record is from RNAcentral.